This 583-nucleotide ribosomal RNA is filed under the name uncultured Acidiphilium sp. Its description in RNAcentral is "bacterial SSU rRNA". It matches the Rfam family "Bacterial small subunit ribosomal RNA", at positions 9 to 630 of the family's 1533-position model. Lineage: Bacteria; Pseudomonadati; Pseudomonadota; Alphaproteobacteria; Acetobacterales; Acidocellaceae. The record is from RNAcentral.
GAGUUUGAUCAUGGCUCAGAGCGAACGCUGGCGGCAUGCUUAACACAUGCAAGUCGCACGGGCAGUAGCAAUAUUGUCAGUGGCGGACGGGUGAGUAACGCGUAGGAAUCUAUCUUUGGAUGCGGGACAACCGUGGGAAACUACGGCUAAUACCGCAUGAUGCCUGAGGGCCAAAGCUUGAGAGAGCGUCUGAAGAGGAGCCUGCGUCUGAUUAGCUAGUUGGUGGGGUAAAGGCCUACCAAGGCUUCGAUCAGUAGCUGGUCUGAGAGGAUGAUCAGCCACAUUGGGACUGAGACACGGCCCAAACUCCUACGGGAGGCAGCAGUGGGGAAUAUUGGACAAUGGGCGCAAGCCUGAUCCAGCAAUGCCGCGUGGGUGAAGAAGGUUUUCGGAUUGUAAAGCCCUUUUGGCGGGGACGAUGAUGACGGUACCCGCAGAAUAAGCUCCGGCUAACUUCGUGCCAGCAGCCGCGGUAAUACGAAGGGGGCUAGCGUUGCUCGGAAUGACUGGGCGUAAAGGGCGCGUAGGCGGACUGCACAGUCAGGCGUGAAAUUCCUGGGCUUAACCUGGGGACUGCGUCUGA